Molecule: RNA transcript, 4697 nt
Organism: Nomascus leucogenys (northern white-cheeked gibbon)
Lineage: Eukaryota; Metazoa; Chordata; Mammalia; Primates; Hylobatidae
Gene name: putative IQ motif and ankyrin repeat domain-containing protein
Exons: 4
Source: RefSeq, a predicted model, not a curated record
UGCUGGGAUUACAAGGCCACCACACUUGGCCUAAAUUUGAAUUUCAGAUAAACAGGAAUAAUUUAUUUAGUGUAUGUCCCCCAGAUUGCAUCCUGUUUAUUAGCUAAAUCUGGCAACCCUAAACCCAAGCCAUACCCAGUGCUCUAAAUGCAGGUCUGUCCCUUGGCCCGUUCUCUGCUGAGCAGCUGACCUUUUGUUCCGGGCCCGGCCCACCUGCCUGGUGGUGGGACCACCCUGCUGCACUGUUCUGGAGACCUCAUUCUUCACUUCCUCAGUAGCUUUCAACGCCGUGAGACACUUGUUUAAAAAACACUUUGAUUUCGUCUGUCUUCUCUGUUGCUGUCACUGGGAAGGCUGCACCUCCUGCCCUGCCAUCUCCGCUGCAGAACCAAAUACUCUUCCUGGCCUACUGUUUUCCCUGCAGAAUUUUGUGGACACUGCUUCAUUUUCUUCUAACAUAAGAGUUUCUGUAAAAAGCCUUAGGAGGUGGGCGUGGUGCACAGCCGUGUGCCUGUGGUCUCAGCUACUCGGAAGGCUGAGGUGGGAGGAUUGCCAGAACCGGGGAAGUGGAAGCAGCAGUGAGCAGAGAUUGUGCCACUGUGCUGCAUCCUGGGUGACAGAGUGAGACCCCAUCUCAAAAAGAAAAAAGCCUCAGGAGAGGCGGACUUUCCUGUCAUAGGCGCUUUGCUCUUUCUCCUCGGGUGCUUGAAAAACAUUUUGUUUUGAGGCUCAGCUUCACUGAGUUAUGUCUGAUGCCUGUUGUUCAUGCCCUUUUGUUUUCUGGGAUUUUUUCCCCCCUUUUGUCUUAAGAUUCAUUUCAGGAUUUCGUGGGUUUUAUCUUGAGUGUUUGCUCUUUGUUUGCAUUGUCAGUCUCUGCAUCCUAGACGCACGUUAUUCCUACGACUGUAUUAUCUCUGUCCACUGCCACUCGGUGUCCCGCCCUCCUGACGGCGACUCUCCCUUUAUUCUCCUUCGCUGUGAUUUUCCCACAUGCACUCAGCUCUCCACCCUGCCCCCGCUGGCUGCUCCGGUCCGUGUCCUGGGCCUGCAGGGCCUUCCGCCUCUCCCAGUCUCGCCUCAUCCCGCCAUUCUGUCCAUGCUCCCUGGGAGCCUGGUUGUGGGAAUCGUAGUACUUGGCUCCCCAGCGGGCGCACCUGUGGAGACCCAGCUGCGCUGCCUGCUUGCUUCUGGCCUGGGCUCCCGUGGCCUUCUGCACAGCUGUGGCUCCCUGCUGGGUACCCACGUGGCCCGACAGCCUCGCCUAGCCACCUGUGCCCUGGUACAAGUCACACCUACGGGGCGCACGCUGAGCGUUCACUGUGGCGGAAGCGCCACAAGCGCCCCAUUGCUUGUCUCCUAGAAAGCUGCCAGUAUCGUUCCACGUUAGAGCAAGGGGCUUAGGCCGGGGAGGCUGAGUGGUACCCGGACUUCCCCAGGCCACUAAGGGCAGGGCUGGGCCCGACGGCCUCUCCUCCGCCCCCUCCUCCCUGCGAGGCGGCUCCAGGCUCGGGCUCAGCGCUCCGUUGCAGCCGCGGUGCGGCGAGGGCGAGGCCGAGUCCGGAGAGGACGGAGCUCCCUCUGGGGCCCUGGGCUCCGCGCUCUCUUCCGAGUCCAGCGGGGCUGUGAUGAGCCCUCCCAGGCCUGGGGCCUCCCCACUCAGCCCAGCCUUCGCUCGCUGGGGCCUGGAUGCAGGAGGGGCCUUCGGCUUUCAGGGAAGGGAGUCCCGCGGGGGACAGCACCGCUUCCUCACCGUUCCUUGGGGCUCCCGAGCUGCGGGCUCGGCGGGGCUCGCAGGGUCCCCGGAGGCGUGGGCGGGGGAGGUUCCCGCAGACCUGGGUCCUCUCCCCGUCCCGGGCUUUCGCGCAGCCUCCUCGUGCGGCCUCUGCGGGCGGGAACCCCGGCUCGGCCGCCUUGGGGGCUUUGAGAGCCGUUUCGGUCCUUCUGUGGGGGCUGGGCCGGCUCCACUCCCAGGGGCGCAGCAGGCGUGGCUGGAGGCGAGAACGCGCCCCCGUGAGCCUCUCCCCACCCCAGGGCCAAGCGAUCCAGGGCGCUUUCCGGCAGCUCCGGGCCAGGAGGGAGCUCGCCCGCCGCCGGGAGGAGCGCCGGGAGUACCUGGAGCAGAUGGAGAAGCUGCAGAGGGAGGCCUACCUGGCCCUGGUGCGCCGGGAGCAGGAGGCCGCGCGGCGGCUGCGCGAGCAGGAGGAGGCGGCGCAGUGGGAGCGGCGGGAGGAGCUGCAGCGUCGCCGCCGCCUGCUGGACGCCGCCUUCGACGGGGACGUGGGCGAGAUCCGGGCGGUGCCGAAGGAGGUCAGCGGGGGCGGGAAGAGGGCGAGGGCGGGGGUUGGGGUUGGAGUGGGAGGAGCGGGGAGCCGUGACCGCGGCGGGCGGCGCAGGUGGAGCAGCUAAUGACCCGCGAGGGCGUGGGCCAUGACGAGGCAGGCAAGGCGCGGCGGCUGCAGCGACGCGUGGCUCUGGUGGAGUGCGAGGACAGCCACGGGAACACGCCGCUGUCCGAGGCGGCCGCGGGCGGGCAGUCCCUGGCCAUCCAGCUGCUGGCCGAGCUCGGCGCCAGCCCCAACAGCAAGGUGGGCGCCGUGGGCUGCGGGCCGAAGCGCUGAGGGACGCGGUGCAGGACCCUCGGGGGCCUCCUUCCCCCAGGAACAAGGCCUGGAUCUUGCUCAGGGAGCCCAUCUUGAAGGGCGCUUUCGGUCGGACGCCGCUGUACCGUGCAGCCUUUGGGGGCCACCUGGCAGCUGUGGAGGUGCUUCUGAAGCUCGGAGCAGACCCCCGGGUGUACGCAGAGGACAGGAGCACCCCUGAGCAGCUGCUGGGAAGCAGAUAGCGCAGGGCCAGUCCUCAGGCUGUGGUUAGCCUGUGGAUCCAUCAGGUGACCGUGGAGGUGAGUUUACCAUGUGUCUCUGCCCCCUGCAUCUGUAGACAAAUGCUUAAGUCGGCACCGGCUCAGCCAGGAUGGUGGUUACCGGAGGCCACACCGCACCACUGCUUCUCUCCCUCUCGUCUGCUCUGUCUCCCUCUCUCCCGUCCAUCUGUGAGUUCUUCCCGGUUCUGCCCACAUUCAGUCUCCCUGUCUGCACUUGUCUGUGGCCAGUCUCCCGGAAGAGCUACAGGGAACUCAUCCUUCCCCACCUCUUUCCCCUCAUCCUGUCUUCAACCUUCCCACGCCACAAACCCUUUGCUCUGUGGGAAUGCCGGCCGCUCACCCGCGCACCCCUAACGCAGUGCCUUCUGCCUACUCCAUGGCCCGUGUCUGUCCACCUCCACCUGGCCCCGUCGCCAGGCCUGCCACACCUUCUCGGUCUGUUCUUGGUGGUGCCCACCUUCAGCCACCUGCUUUCCUUCUCCCAGGCCUCUGCUCUCCAGCCAGCAGCUCCUCGGGCCCCGACUGUUUCCCAGGCCUAAUUCCGAGUAUGAGAGUCUCCCUGCCCCACCCGGCCCUUCUCAGCUACCGCCUUGCCUCCUUCCGCUGUCAUCCAGCUAUUAGGGAGCUGGCCACACUAGACAACAGGCCCUGGUCACCCCUGCUUCCCAGAGCAGGAAAGGGCAAGUGGCAUUCACACACGGAGCCACCCAUGAACAGCCUCCUGGUCCAGUGUGAGGCCGGGCCUGGCCCGCCACCAGGUGCAUGUGACCUGCUCUGAGCUCCUGCUCUUCCUUCCUCCUCACUGCGACCCCUCCAAGCAUCACCCCUGCUCCACAGACGAGGAGGGCCCGGCACAGGAAGUCAGGGACUCACCCAGGGCAGCCGGGCUUUGAGCUCGGCUCUGCACCCACUCCUUGCUCCUGGAGUGCUGGGGACUCAGGAGGGUGAGAGGCAGUGGCGGCCCCAGGGCUUGUGUCCUUCAGGCAGAGAUCUGCAGGAGACCACAGAGGAGGGAGCUCCAGUGUGCACAUCCUGCGGGCCAGCCUCCUACUCAGGAAGCAGCGGUGGCAGCCGAGGCCUCAGGCGUGUACUUGAGUCGACAGAGGCAGGAAGCCUGGGCCAGGUCCUGGGGGAGUGAAGGGGAAGGAAGCCUUUGGAGGCCCAGCCACAGGAGCAGGUUCCUGCUUGGACUUGGUCAGGGAGCCCAGGAGAAUUCCCAGUGGCCUGGGAUUUGGGGACAGCAGCCCCACAGGGGCUCAUGCUUUGGGGCCCACCACGCACCAGCUGUGAGCGCUGAGGCCUUUCUGCACAAUGGCACCCUUUCUCCCAAAUGGGAGCGCAACAGUUCCUCUCCAGGCUGAGAAGACUCGGAACACGCACCGAGUGCCUGACAAAUGUCGUCUGUCACUAGGUGGCCUCGCUGGACACAGUGGUAAGCGUGCUGCGCUCGUGGGACCUGAGCCUCACGGAGGCCGUGCUCCAGAACAUGAAGGCAGAGCAGCAGCGCCGGGCCCAGGAGGCCCAGAGGUACGAGGAGGCCGAGGCUGAGCGGUGUGGCAGGCAGGAGGGGUGUGGGAGGUGCUGGCGAGGGGCACUGGCAGGGAGCACAGGCAGGGGGUGCUGGUGGGGCACUGGCGAGAGCCUCUGCCCCAGCUCAUUCCCGCUCCCUAGUAUGACCCUCAAGGUCCAACAGCUGGCCCGGGAGCAGCAGCAGUGUCACAAGGAGCUGCAACAGGCCUACUGUGAGCUGAGCCAGAGGAUCUCAGAGCACACAGUGUGAGUGGAGGUGCACGGACAAGACCAAGCUCACGCUGCA